This 376-nucleotide unclassified non-coding RNA is filed under the name uncultured Actinomycetes bacterium. RNAcentral describes it as "uncultured actinobacterium contains 16S-23S intergenic spacer region". The record is from RNAcentral. Lineage: Bacteria; Bacillati; Actinomycetota; Actinomycetes.
UCCGAGUUGACCCCGGCAGUUUCCUAUGAGUCCCCGACAUUACUCGCUGGCAACAUAGGACAAGGGUUGCGCUCGUUGCGGGACUUAACCCAACAUCUCACGACACGAGCUGACGACAACCAUGCACCACCUGUGCAGAGCCCUUGCGGACCCCAUAUCUCUAUGAGAUUUCCCUGCAUGUCAAGCCCUGGUAAGGUUCUUCGCGUUGCAUCGAAUUAAGCCACAUGCUCCGCCGCUUGUGCGGGCCCCCGUCAAUUCCUUUGAGUUUUAGCCUUGCGGCCGUACUCCCCAGGCGGGGUGCUUAAUGCGUUAGCUUCGGCACGGACGGAGUCGACACCGCCCACACCUAGCACCCAUCGUUUACGGCGUGGACUAC